RNAcentral lists this ribosomal RNA (254 nucleotides) under uncultured bacterium. Its description in RNAcentral is "partial 16S ribosomal RNA". It matches the Rfam family "Bacterial small subunit ribosomal RNA", at positions 524 to 776 of the family's 1533-position model. The record is from RNAcentral.
UACGGAGGAUGCAAGCGUUAUCCGGAAUGAUUGGGCGUAAAGCGUCCGCAGGUGGCAAUGUAAGUCUGCUGUUAAAGAGUCUAGCUCAACUAGAUAAAAGCAGUGGAAACUACAUAGCUAGAGUACGUUCGGGGCAGAGGGAAUUCCUGGUGUAGCGGUGAAAUGCGUAGAGAUUGGGAAGAACAUCGGUGGCGAAGGCGCUCUGCUGGACCAUAACUGACACUCACAGGACGAAAGCUAGGGGAGCGAAUGGG